GACGAACGCUGGCGGCGUGCUUAACACAUGCAAGUCGAGCGGUAAGGCCCUUUCGGGGGUACACGAGCGGCGAACGGGUGAGUAACACGUGGGUGACCUGCCCUCAGCUCUGGGAUAAGCCUGGGAAACUGGGUCUAAUACUGGAUAUGACUCCACGGUGCAUGUCGUGGGGUGGAAAGCCUUGUGCGGCUGAGGAUGGGCCCGCGGCCUAUCAGCUUGUUGGUGGGGNGAUGGCCUACCAAGCGACGACGGGUAGCCGGCCUGAGAGGGCGACCGGCCACACUGGGACUGAGACACGGCCCAGACUCCUACGGGAGGCAGCAGUGGGGAAUCUUGCGCAAUGGGCGAAAGCCUGACGCAGCGACGCC
This 368-nucleotide ribosomal RNA is filed under the name uncultured bacterium. RNAcentral's name for it is "bacterial SSU rRNA". It matches the Rfam family "Bacterial small subunit ribosomal RNA", at positions 28 to 398 of the family's 1533-position model. The record is from RNAcentral.